GAUGAAGAACGCAGCGAAAUGCGAUACGUAAUGUGAAUUGCAGAAUUCCGUGAAUCAUCAAAUCUUUGAACGCAUAUUGCGCCCAAGGCUUCGGCCGAGGGCAUGUCUGCCUCAGCGUCGGUUUACACCCUCGCUGCCCAACCUUUCGGUUGGUCCAGCGGAUCUGGUCGUCUCAGCUGAUUCAAUUGGCUGCGUCGGCUGAAAUACGAUGCUUGCACAUGGACCCUUAUCGGGCAUCAACUGGAUAGGUAUACCGCCCUACGGCGAAUACACGAAGUUGUUGCCUUGUGACAUGUUUAAGCAGCAGGAAACUUAUUAACCAUUCGACCUGAGCUCAGGCAAGGCUACCCGCUGAACUUAAGCAUAUCAAUAAGCGGAGGA
This 381-nucleotide unclassified non-coding RNA is filed under the name soil metagenome. RNAcentral's name for it is "partial contains 5.8S ribosomal RNA, internal transcribed spacer 2, and large subunit ribosomal RNA". The stretch from base 1 to 120 matches the Rfam family "5.8S ribosomal RNA", at positions 35 to 154 of the family's 154-position model. The record is from RNAcentral.